This 611-nucleotide long non-coding RNA is filed under the name Brassica napus (rape). RNAcentral describes it as "long non-coding RNA (BNAP_LNC004135)". Lineage: Eukaryota; Viridiplantae; Streptophyta; Magnoliopsida; Brassicales; Brassicaceae. The record is from RNAcentral.
AAGUUGACUAUUUUUGAGACUAUAAUGUUUGUAUAAACCCUAAACCCUAAUCACUAAACCCUUAACCCAAAUAUAGACCCUAAACACUAAUCACUAAACCCUAAAUCCUAAUCACUAAACCCUAAACCCAAAUAUAAACCCUAAACCCUAAUCACUAAACCCUAAACCCAAAUAUAAACCCUAAACCCAAAUCACUAAACCUUAAACCCAAAUAUAAACCCUAAACCCAAAUAUAAACCCUAAACCAUAACCACUAAACUCUAAACCCAAAUAUAAACCCUAAAAAUUAAACUCUACUCACCCACUUAAAUUCUAAAACCCUAGACAAACCCCUAGUUACUAAAUCUAAACCCAAAUAACUAAAGUAUAAAUCCAAACAAUCUAUAUAAUAUGUUGUCAAUUUUCUCAAUGUAGACGACAUAGUAUGGAACCGGUAUAAAUAGUAUAGAUGUACUGGUCCACUCCAUUUACAUUUUCCAAAUGACCAAGUUUAAGAACGAAAUUACUAAACCCUAAACACUAAUUACUAAAUCCUAAACCCAAAUAUAAACCCAAAACCCUAAACUGUAAACCCAAAUCUCAAAAUCUAAUGCAAACCUCAACUUCACCAC